Long non-coding RNA from Aricia agestis (brown argus), 365 nucleotides. RefSeq lists it as uncharacterized. The record is from RefSeq and is a predicted model, not a curated record. Lineage: Eukaryota; Metazoa; Arthropoda; Insecta; Lepidoptera; Lycaenidae. The transcript has 3 exons.
UAUAGUAUUUGAUCCCUUAAAAUAGUAGGAUACUAUAAUAUUAUAUAGUAGGUUUGACAACCCUAGCGACUCAGUCGUUCUGCAGUUCCUAUGAUUUCCCGUCUUGGCUGAUGGCUCAUUCAUUUGCAACGCAGUGCGCAGAGGUAUCAUCGUGGUUUCAGCUCAGUACAUCAAAAGUGUAUGGGAAGAUAAAGGAAUAGUUAAAAAUGCUUGAAAAUUAGAGAAGUUCAUCAAAAAUCACAGCGGAACGCAGAAAAAGGAUUAGACCAGGCAUUAUUUAAUUAUCGGAUGAUCAAUGACGAAGAAUUCUACAUGACACAAACGAAGACAUUAUUUUGUUUAUUUGUAUAAAUGCAUAAAAAACU